GAUGAACGCUAGCUACAGGCUUAACACAUGCAAGUCGAGGGGAAACGAUGAGAGAGCUUGCUCUCUUAGGCGUCGACCGGCGCACGGGUGAGUAACGCGUAUCCAACCUACCCAUUACAGGGGGAUAACCUUGCGAAAGUAAGACUAAUACCCCAUGGCAUUUUAUGGUGGCAUCAUUAUAGGAUUAAAGAUUUAUUGGUAAUGGAUGGGGAUGCGUCUGAUUAGCUUGUUGGCGGGGUAACGGCCCACCAAGGCAACGAUCAGUAGGGGUUCUGAGAGGAAGGUCCCCCACAUUGGAACGGAGACACGGUCCAAACUCCUACGGGAGGCAGCAGUGAGGAAGAUUGGUCAAUGGGCGAGAGCUUGAACCAGCCAAGUAGCGUGCAGGAUGACGGCCCUAUGGGUUGUAAACUGCUUUUAGAGGGGAAUAAAGUGAGCUACGUGUAGUUUAUUGCAUGUACCCUAUGAAUAAGGACCGGCUAAUUCCGUG
RNAcentral lists this ribosomal RNA (490 nucleotides) under uncultured bacterium. RNAcentral describes it as "partial 16S ribosomal RNA". It matches the Rfam family "Bacterial small subunit ribosomal RNA", at positions 28 to 507 of the family's 1533-position model. The record is from RNAcentral.